This is a long non-coding RNA of Paramormyrops kingsleyae, 566 nucleotides long. RefSeq lists it as uncharacterized. NCBI's taxonomy places the organism in Eukaryota, Metazoa, Chordata, Actinopteri, Osteoglossiformes, Mormyridae. The record is from RefSeq and is a predicted model, not a curated record.
AGACUGUCGACCAAUCAGUUUCUGAUGCGAAGUGGGCGGAACUUCCGCUGCUGGAAACACUGUAGGUUAGCGGUGUAUCUCGAGGCGAAAAGGCUACAGCCGGAGCCGAGAUAGUGCCGAAGGGCAAAAGCACCCCUCUGAGCGCGAAGAUGUCCCAGCAUGGAGCCGCCGAGGGGUUAGCUCGAAAGCUCCGCCCCAUUAACGACCCGCAUGCGGGCAUGUAACUGCACAAGAGUACAGGGCUGUGGCCUUCAAAUACCACCAAAUGCUCCAAAGCAAUCGAGAAAAACAGUAAUUACUGCACUAUGGUAAGACAUAAGAUGUGUGACAGAGUGAGUCUGUCAAGGUUAUUGGGCUAAGCCUCUGUGCCUGUGAUUGGAAGGUUGCUGAUGUGAGCCCAGCCUCAGCAGAAUAAUCAUACCUAUGGGCCCCUGAGAAAGGCCUUUAACCCCCCAGCUCCAUGGGCACCACUGCAGAUAAAUGCUAUUCACUGCCAAGAUUGCUCUCAUGUGUCUGUGUGUCAUGGAAAGCAAGAUGGUGUAACCAAGAUGAGAAUUUCCCCAUGU